Molecule: microRNA precursor, 88 nt
Filed under: Pteropus vampyrus (large flying fox)
Lineage: Eukaryota; Metazoa; Chordata; Mammalia; Chiroptera; Pteropodidae
Source: RNAcentral
UGUCUAUAGCCAUGCUACCCUGAACAAGCCUGAUCCCAUCUGAUCUCGGAAGCUAAGCAGAGUCGGGCCUGGUUAGUACAUAGAUGGG